GCCCAGCUCACAAAUUCAAGGAAAUGUCCCAUUCUCACGUUUUCAACCAGACAAUACAAGGCCUGAGGAACGAGGCUAAUCACAACUACCAACCACUUUACAGCCUGAAGGGUCGCCAAUCCCGAAGACUUUAUCUCAAUUUCACUAUCACUACCAACCCAAUAGUCCAUUAGUCUGAAAGAGAAACCCAGGCUAUCAUAAGAUCAAAGACUUGUAAUUAUAUAAAGGAAAGAUAUAAUAAUCGCGCGUACCCUUUUUUUUUAGAAUCUUUUUUUUUUUAUCAUUUUUCUAUGUUGAUGGGUUGAGAACCACACCAUAAAUAAGAUAAGAAAAAAAGAUUCUAAAAAAAGGGUAAGAA
This 358-nucleotide unclassified non-coding RNA is filed under the name Hevea brasiliensis (rubber tree). The record is from RNAcentral. Lineage: Eukaryota; Viridiplantae; Streptophyta; Magnoliopsida; Malpighiales; Euphorbiaceae.